This 328-nucleotide unclassified non-coding RNA is filed under the name soil metagenome. Its description in RNAcentral is "partial contains 5.8S ribosomal RNA, internal transcribed spacer 2, and large subunit ribosomal RNA". The stretch from base 1 to 120 matches the Rfam family "5.8S ribosomal RNA", at positions 35 to 154 of the family's 154-position model. The record is from RNAcentral.
GAUGAAGAACGCAGCGAAAUGCGAUAAGUAAUGUGAAUUGCAGAAUUCAGUGAAUCAUCGAAUCUUUGAACGCACAUUGCGCCCCUUGGUAUUCCGAGGGGCAUGCCUGUUCGGGCGUCAUUAUAACCCUCAAGCUCAGCUUGGUGUUGGGGCCUGCUGCACUGGCAGCCCUUAAAAUCAGUGGCGGCGCCAUCUGGCUCUAAGCGUAGUAAUUCUUCUCGCUAUGGAGUCCUGGUGGAUGCUUGCCAUCAACCCCCAAUUUUUCUAUGGUUGACCUCGGAUCAGGUAGGGAUACCCGCUGAACUUAAGCAUAUCAAUAAGCGGAGGA